AAAACAUUGACUACUAAAAGGCAGACUGCGUUGGAUAAUCCAGAACACUGUAUAAGCGAAUGUUGGAUAAGUGAGAUUCUACUGUAAUAUGAAAUAAUUACUGUGGUAAUCCAGUCCAACCCAAUUCUGCCAAGGAGGACACAAUCCAAGCACGCCCAACAGAUAGCCACCCAGCCUCUCAAUAAUAAUACAGUAGAGUCUCACUUAUCCAACACUCACUUAUCCAAUGUUCUAGAUUAUCCAACACAUUUUUGUAGUCAAUGUUUUCAAUAUAUCAUGAUAUUUUGGUGCUAAAUUCGUAAAUACAGUAAUUACAACAUAACAUUACUGCAUAUUGAACUACUUUUUCUGUCAAAUUUGUUGUAUAACAUGAUGUUUUGGUGCUUAAUUUGUAAAAUCAUAACCUAUUUUGAUGUUUAAUAGGCUUUUUCUUAAUCUCUCCUUAUUAUCCAACAUAUUCACUUAUCCAACAUUCUGCCGGCCCAUUUAUGUUGGAUAAGUGAGACUCUACUGUAAUAAUAAUACAGAACAUCAUACAAUCAUAAGGUUAGGAGACACCCCUAAGGAUCAUCCAGUUCAACUUCCUUCCACCUUGCAGGACGAUACAAUCCAAGCACUCCCAACAGAUGGCCAGCCAGCCUCUCAAUAAUAAUAAUAAGAAGAAGAAUAAGAAUAUCAUACAAUCCUAAGGUUAGCAGAUACCCCUAAGGAUCAUCCAGUUCAACUUCCUUAUAUCAUGCAGGAGGACACAAUCCAACCACUCCUGACAGAUGGCCAUCCAAUAUCUGCACAAUAAUAAUACACAUCGAAUCAUAGCAUCAGACAGUUAGGAGACACCCCUAAAGGCCAUCCAGUCCAACCCAAUUCUGCCAUGCAGGACACAAUCCAAGCACUCCCAACAGAUGGCCACCCAGCCUCUCAAUACCACCACCACCACCACCACCACUACUACUACUACUACUACUACUACUAAUAAUAAUAAUAACAUCAUCAUCAUACAAUCCAAAGGUUUGGAGUGACCCCUAAGGAUCAUCCAGCUCAACUUCCUUCUACCAUGCAGGAGGACACAAUCCAAGCACUCCUGACAGAUGGCCAUCCAGCCGCGUGGCCGGGCACAGUUAGUAUCUAUAUAUAUAUAUAUAUAAAUGUUCUGACAACUAAAACUAAACACCCAAAACCCACAAAACUUGGUCACAAAAGACAUGGUCAUCCCCGCUGUGUUUAGACAUAAAAACAAAAACAAUUCAAACUGGAAGUCACUCAAAACCCUAAAAACCCGGAAAACUGUACUGUGCACUUGAGUGGAGGAGCCCCCACCCUUGUCAAACCCAUGUCAAUGAAGGUCAGGGACUUCUCUGAGGGGAUCUCGCGAGACUUGUAGAGUGCCUCCCGCCCUGCCGCACGCUGCAGCACCUGCCCCCUCCCCAAAUCAACAGCGCCUGUGUGUCAGUUCUUGGCUGGUAAUGGCGGUGUCUGGCUGAAGGAGCUUCUCGGGUCUCUUUCUCCGGCUUCUCCAGCCUGGAAGGCCUGCGGGAUGAGCCGGCGACCUCCGUCGCUGCCACCGGGAAGGAGAAGCAAAGAAGGAAGGUGGCGAUAGGACAGGUGCCUGACAGUGUCUGCAUAGCAGGUACCAAAAUGAAAUUAAUGAUAUUACAAUGUCUGGACAUUUUCGUUUGAGAAGAAACAUGCUGAAAGCAUCCAUAACCAACUAGCAGUGCGAAGAUGCCCAUGGCCUCACUGAUACUGCUGCAGUUUUAUAAAUGGCUUCAAUGUGGUAUUGUUUAUUUUUCUUAACAGUAAUAUUCCAAUCUCUGCCAUACUGAAUUUACCCUUCUAUAAAGCAGGGUUGGGGAAAUUCUUUGCCCUCAGACUACAUGAUUUAAUUGCUUAAAAAGAAGGGAAGAAGGAAGAAGGGGAAGAAAAGGAUGGACUUCCCCAUUAUUGGAUGUAGUCCUGUAUUUCGUAGACUUCUGGUUGGUCAUAUUGUGAAGCUUGGAGGCAUGGUCACCUCAGGUGGUAGAUCACAAUGACUUUGCAACCUCGCCCCUUUCUAAAAACAGGCCAUUUUCCUAGUCUACCCUCCCACAGUGCUUUGGGUCUAAAGGGCCUUCUGAGCCAAGAUAUGUGAGAAGUGAAAACUACAUGGACUACAGAUAUAGAUUAAAAACUGGAAGCAGUACUUUGCUAUGGACCAGGUUGUACACCAUCCUGUCUGCUCACAGUGGUUUUGAAGUCCUCUAUGCUAUUCUGUGGGCUGGAAGCAUACCAUAGAACCUCACUGGAGGACCACAAGCACAUCUGGGGAGAGUAUCUUUUGGAGUGAGGG
Anolis carolinensis (green anole) is the source of this 2326-nucleotide long non-coding RNA. RefSeq lists it as uncharacterized. The transcript is spliced from 4 exons. NCBI's taxonomy places the organism in Eukaryota, Metazoa, Chordata, Lepidosauria, Squamata, Anolidae. The record is from RefSeq and is a predicted model, not a curated record.